Molecule: long non-coding RNA, 236 nt
Filed under: Gossypium barbadense (sea-island cotton)
Lineage: Eukaryota; Viridiplantae; Streptophyta; Magnoliopsida; Malvales; Malvaceae
Description: long non-coding RNA (GBAR_LNC019103)
Source: RNAcentral
AGAAAUUGAGUAAGUUAUUAUAAUCCUAAUAAAUAUACUAAAUAGCAGGAAAUACUCUUAAGUUGAAUAGAAUGUUUGUAUAAUGAAUUAAUGAAAUAAAAUGCUAAAAACAAAGAAUUGAUAUGGAAAAUAAAAUGUAGUGGUAAAUUACAGAGAAAAGCAAGAGUAAUUCUGUUGUUGAAUGACUAGGGCUGGAAUUAUUCAGGUGAAAUGCUCAUAUCAAAAUAAUGUCAGGG